This 71-nucleotide transfer RNA is filed under the name Anaerolineaceae bacterium. Its description in RNAcentral is "tRNA-Gly". It matches the Rfam family "tRNA". Rfam says of the family: Transfer RNA (tRNA) molecules are approximately 80 nucleotides in length. The record is from RNAcentral. Lineage: Bacteria; Bacillati; Chloroflexota; Anaerolineae; Anaerolineales; Anaerolineaceae. RNAcentral also lists the same sequence under 1 other name.
GCGGGUAUGGUGUAAUGGUAGCACAUGACCCUUCCAAGGUCCUGGCACGGGUUCGAAUCCCGUUACCCGCU